RNAcentral lists this transfer RNA (85 nucleotides) under Xylaria sp. FL0933. RNAcentral's name for it is "tRNA-Pro". It matches the Rfam family "tRNA". From Rfam's summary of the family: Transfer RNA (tRNA) molecules are approximately 80 nucleotides in length. Their secondary structure includes four short double-helical elements and three loops (D, anti-codon, and T loops). Lineage: Eukaryota; Fungi; Ascomycota; Sordariomycetes; Xylariales; Xylariaceae. The record is from RNAcentral.
GGCUCAAUGGUCUAGUGGUAUGAUUCUCGCUUUGGGAACUGAACUAAACUGCGAGAGGCCCCGGGUUCGAAUCCCGGUUGAGCCC